RNAcentral lists this ribosomal RNA (241 nucleotides) under uncultured Actinomycetales bacterium. Its description in RNAcentral is "partial 16S ribosomal RNA". It matches the Rfam family "Bacterial small subunit ribosomal RNA", at positions 89 to 334 of the family's 1533-position model. The record is from RNAcentral. Lineage: Bacteria; Bacillati; Actinomycetota; Actinomycetes; Actinomycetales.
ACUCGAGUGGCGAACGGGUGAGUAACACGUGGGUGAUCUGCCCUGCGCUCUGGGAUAAGCCUGGGAAACUGGGUCUAAUACCGGAUAGGACCAUGCUUUAGUGUGUGUGGUGGAAAGUUUUUCGGUGUAGGAUGAGCCCGCGGCCUAUCAGCUUGUUGGUGGGGUAAUGGCCUACCAAGGCGGCGACGGGUAGCCGGACUGAGAGGUUGGUCGGCCACAUUGGGACUGAGAUACGGCCCAG